AAGAAGGAAAUGACAGGCGCAGUCAGUCACUCCCAACGUCCCAUCCCUCAUCUGAGACCCGUGGGAAUAAAACGGGUGAGAGUGGGUGUUUGAGGAAGGAAGAAGGACUAAAACUUGUCGAAAGGAGAAGGCACCGGAGGUAGGAGACUGAAACCCACGCUCGCCGGAGAAACUUGAGCGCUAGAUCCACGGGUGUUCGGCGGUCGACUUUGGAUGGAUACAAACCGAAGAGGGAAGUCGAACGAAGGGAGAACGCCAAGUUGCUAUGUGUUUGCGGGAGGACGAUCCACGAGAUUUGAGGAGGAUUGUGGGCGUCGGAAACGAAUCAGAGGGCGAGGCGACGAAGAGCAUGGGGUGAGU
Molecule: long non-coding RNA, 360 nt
Organism: Cucurbita moschata (crookneck pumpkin)
Lineage: Eukaryota; Viridiplantae; Streptophyta; Magnoliopsida; Cucurbitales; Cucurbitaceae
Exons: 2
Source: RefSeq, a predicted model, not a curated record